UGCUUAACACAUGCAAGUCGAACGGAAAGGCCCUGCUUUUGUGGGGUGCUCGAGUGGCGAACGGGUGAGUAACACGUGAGUAACCUGCCCUUGACUUUGGGAUAACUUCAGGAAACUGGGGCUAAUACCGGAUAGGAGCUCCUGCUGCAUGGUGGGGGUUGGAAAGUUUCGGCGGUUGGGGAUGGACUCGCGGCUUAUCAGCUUGUUGGUGGGGUAGUGGCUUACCAAGGCUUUGACGGGUAGCCGGCCUGAGAGGGUGACCGGCCACAUUGGGACUGAGAUACGGCCCAGACUCCUACGGGAGGCAGCAGUGGGGAAUAUUGCACAAUGGGCGGAAGCCUGAUGCAGCAACGCCGCGUGCGGGAUGACGGCCUUCGGGUUGUAAACCGCUUUCGCCUGUGACGAAGCGUGAGUGACGGUAAUGGGUAAAGAAGCACCGGCUAACUACGUGCCGGCAGCCGCGGUGAUACGUAGGGUGCGAGCGUUGUCCGGAUUUAUUGGGCGUAAAGGGCUCGUAGGUGGUUGAUCGCGUCGGAAGUGUAAUCUUGGGGCUUAACCCUGAGCGUGCUUUCGAUACGGGUUGACUUGAGGAAGGUAGGGGAGAAUGGAAUUCCUGGUGGAGCGGUGGAAUGCGCAGAUAUCAGGAGGAACACCAGUGGCGAAGGCGGUUCUCUGGGCCUUUCCUGACGCUGAGGAGCGAAAGCGUGGGGAGCGAACAGGCUUAGAUACCCUGGUAGUCCACGCUGUAAACGGUGGGUACUAGGUGUGGGGUCCAUUCCACGGGUUCCGUGCCGUAGCUAACGCUUUAAGUACCCCGCCUGGGGAGUACGGCCGCAAGGCUAAAACUCAAAGGAAUUGACGGGGCCCCGCACAAGCGGCGGAGCAUGCGGAUUAAUUCGAUGCAACGCGUAGAACCUUACCUGGGUUUGACAUGGAUCGGGAGCGCUCAGAGAUGGGUGUGCCUCUUUUGGGGUCGGUUCACAGGUGGUGCAUGGCUGUCGUCAGCUCGUGUCGUGAGAUGUUGGGUUAAGUCCCGCAACGAGCGCAACCCUUGUUCACUGUUGCCAGCACGUUAUGGUGGGGACUCAGUGGAGACCGCCGGGGUCAACUCGGAGGAAGGUGGGGAUGACGUCAAGUCAUCAUGCCCCUUAUGUCCAGGGCUUCACGCAUGCUACAAUGGCUGGUACAGAGAGUGGCGAGCCUGUGAGGGUGAGCGAAUCUCGGAAAGCCGGUCUCAGUUCGGAUUGGGGUCUGCAACUCGACCUCAUGAAGUCGGAGUCGCUAGUAAUCGCAGAUCAGCAACGCUGCGGUGAAUACGUUCCCGGGGCUUGUACACACCGCCCGUCAAGUCAUGAAAGUUGGUAACACCCGAAGCCGGUGGCCUAACCGUUGUGGGGGAGCCGUCGAAGGUGGGACUGGUGAUUAGGACUAAGUAG
Molecule: ribosomal RNA, 1436 nt
Filed under: uncultured organism
Description: SSU rRNA
Rfam family: Bacterial small subunit ribosomal RNA
Source: RNAcentral